CAGGCAAUGGACUAUUGGGAACUGAGCUGCAAUUGAGAGGGGAAUCAUGAGCACAACUGAAACGGAUGCUUCUUGCUGUAAAGUUCCCACUGUUAUACGGAUUUUCUUGAGCUGCCCAAAAGUUCUUAGCAUACAAAUCUCCAUAGAGGUAACUGCAAAUGCAACCAUCCUUAUGUCAAGUUUAGUUUCCUAAUCGUAUAUCAACAAUCUAGGGUGUGUUCAUAUUUACCUUCCAUAUAUGCAGGGAUCAGUCUUGGAGCGAUAAACAUAGCCACCUGAUAUGGCCGCAGAUCCAACUUCUUUGUUUACUUCAGAAUGGGUGUAUCCUAACACUGGGAAGAUGGGAUCAACAAAGUCAUCAGCUGAAGCAUUUUUA
This 376-nucleotide long non-coding RNA is filed under the name Solanum tuberosum (potato). Its description in RNAcentral is "long non-coding RNA (STUB_LNC011565)". The record is from RNAcentral. Lineage: Eukaryota; Viridiplantae; Streptophyta; Magnoliopsida; Solanales; Solanaceae.